RNAcentral lists this ribosomal RNA (1664 nucleotides) under Candidatus Curtissbacteria bacterium RIFCSPLOWO2_01_FULL_42_26. RNAcentral describes it as "bacterial LSU rRNA". It matches the Rfam family "Bacterial large subunit ribosomal RNA", at positions 1962 to 2854 of the family's 2925-position model. The record is from RNAcentral. Lineage: Bacteria; Candidatus Curtissiibacteriota.
AAAUUCCUUGUCGGGUAAGUUCCGACCCGCACGAAAGGCUUAACGACUUGGCGACUGUCUCAAGGAGGGACUCGGCGAAAUUGCAGUGGCCGUGAAGAUGCGGCCAACCUACACCAGGACAAAAAGACCCCGUGGAGCUUUACUGCAGCUUGGCAUUGAUUCAGUUUUUAGGACUGUAUAGGAUAGGUGGGAGUCAAGUACCAUACGGUACCUGACAACAGUGUAAUACCACUCUUCUUGAUGAUUGAAUCUAUCACCGUAUUUCCUAAUAAAAAACAGGAUGCGGGACAGUGUCUGGUGGGCAGUUUGACUGGGGCGGUCGCCUCCAAAAGAGUAACGGAGGCGUACAAAGGUCGGCUCAACUCCUAUAGAAACGGAGCAUUAGAGCGUAAUGGCAUAAGCCGGCUUGACUGCGAGUGGUACAUCACAAGCAGGUGCGAAAGCAGGUCAUAGUGAUCCUCACAUGGCUCGUGGGAGCGUGUGAGCUUAACGGAUAAAAGCUACCCCGGGGAUAACAGGCUUAUCUUCCCCAAGAGUCCAUAUCGACGGGAAGGUUUGGCACCUCGAUGUCGGCUCGUCGUAUCCUCCUGCUGAAGUAGGCGGGAAGGGUUGGGCUGUUCGCCCAUUAAAACGGCACGCGAGCUGGGUUCAGAACGUAAGUUACAUUGCGUUCUACCACAGUAAUGUGGUACAACAAAUCCAACUAAAAUCGGAGAAACCCUAAUUGAGUUAACCGAACACUCAAAAGGGCAACACCGAGGAUAAGACAAGAGGUAUGUGACAAAAGAAGAUAUAGCGUAUAUUGCUGGUUUUUUAGAUGGUGAUGGAUGCAUUAUGCUCCAACUGGUAUAUCGACAUGAUUAUGUGUUGGGUUAUCAGAUACGAGCAAGCAUUGUUUUCUAUCAAAAACAGCAGUAUAUUGAUUUUUUGGCAGAGUUAAAAGAGCAACUAGGCUAUGGUUAUAUCCGGAAACGGAAUGAUGGCAUGGCAGAAUACACAAUUGUUGGUGUUACACCAGUUCAAGAAGUGUUGUUGUUACUUUUACCUUACAUAAAACUUAAGAAGAAACAAGCAGAACUUUCUUUAAGAGUUCUAGAAAAAAUGCCAGGGACUGGAAAUAAAAUUAGUCCAAAACUUCUUUUAAAACUUGCGCAAGAAGUAGAUAAGUUCGCUUUUCUGAAUUAUUCAAAAAGGAGGACAAAUACUUCCUCUGUCGUAAGCGAAUUUUUAAAAUCACAUAACCUUUUGGAUUCCGUAGAGACUGAUUCCCAGGUUCGCAGUAACACGCGAACGUAAGAUGAGAUCUUCUGAUUACAUAAUCAGAAGAUCAAAUGUUGGCUCCUCAAUUAGUAUACGUUUAGAUUGAGGAUGAAGAUAUAGUCCAUGCUACCAGUAAUGGUAGACAAGCCUUUUAUCGCCAAGUGGCGAUUCAGGGUAAACAUGCGUGAGACAGUUCGGCCUCUAUCCGGUGUAGGCGUUUGAUAUCUGAGGGGGGUCACCACUAGUACGAGAGGACCGUGGUGAGCUAGCCUCUAGUGUGCCAGUUGUCACAUCAGUGGCAGUGCUGGGUAGCUACGCUGGUAACUGAGAAGCGCUGAAAGCAUCUAAGCGCCAAACAGGCCCCAAGACUAGAUAUCGUAAGACCCGUCGUAGACUACGACGUU